AGAAGGGAACUAGGCGGUUAUGGUCCAAGUUUGCGGAAGAUACAUUUUCGAUCGUGCAAGCCAACACUGUGAGACUAGUAGUUUCAAAUAUGGCACUAUGGUCCAAAUAUAGAAGGCUUUGAAUAUUCUUAAGUCCUGAUUCAGAGCUAAAGGCAAGUCCUCAUAUUGAAUCAAAAUUGAAGAAGUGGAAAAAGCAAUAUCUUAUAGUCUAUGAC
Molecule: long non-coding RNA, 215 nt
Filed under: Prunus persica (peach)
Lineage: Eukaryota; Viridiplantae; Streptophyta; Magnoliopsida; Rosales; Rosaceae
Description: long non-coding RNA (PPER_LNC002142)
Source: RNAcentral